CUGUAGCAAAGAAGCCGUACAAUCCUAUAUUGGGAGAGACGUUCCGUUGUUUCUGGGUGCUGCCUGAAUGUGAGACGUCAAGAACAGAGAAAUGUCAAAUCGACGGUCCAGUGCCUUGGGCUUCUGAAGAUGACGUCACUUUUCUUGCUGAGCAAGUAUCCCAUCAUCCUCCAAUUUCUGCCUUCUAUGCAGAGAACUUUAGUAAACAGAUUUCUUUCAACGCGCAUAUUUGGACCAAGUCAAAGUUCUUGGGAUUGUCAGUUGGAGUAGAAAACAUUGGACAAGGUAACAAAUGUUCUUCAUACACAGUUGAACUCUUUUCCGAUUUUUUUAGGCACUUGAUUUAUGAACAGUCUGUUCGCUUACUCCACGUGUUUCAGUUAAGGUGAUUCCUUAAGUUGCAUUGCGCAUCCCUACUGCGCACGAUUUUCGCGUCAUUAGCGCGC
Molecule: long non-coding RNA, 446 nt
Organism: Orbicella faveolata
Lineage: Eukaryota; Metazoa; Cnidaria; Anthozoa; Scleractinia; Merulinidae
Source: RefSeq, a predicted model, not a curated record